This 898-nucleotide ribosomal RNA is filed under the name marine metagenome. RNAcentral's name for it is "bacterial SSU rRNA". It matches the Rfam family "Bacterial small subunit ribosomal RNA", at positions 315 to 1208 of the family's 1533-position model. The record is from RNAcentral.
GGAACUGAGACACGGUCCAGACUCCUACGGGAGGCAGCAGUAGGGAAUAUUGCGCAAUGGGGGAAACCCUGACGCAGCAAUGCCACGUGAGUGAGGACGGCCCUCGGGUUGUAAAGCUCUGUCCUAUAGGAAGAACGGCUUUGGGUAACGCCAAAGUUUGACGGUACUAUAGAAGAAAGCACCGGCUAACUCCGUGCCAGCAGCCGCGGUAAUACGGAGGGUGCAAGCGUUGUUCGGAUUUACUGGGCGUAAAGCGCGCGCAGGCGGAUUAGCAAGUCAGAUGUGAAAUCUCGGGGCUCAACCUCGAAACUGCGUCUGAAACUGUUGAUCUAGAAUAUCAUAGGGGGUAGGGGAAUUUCACGUGUAGGGGUAAAAUCCGUAGAGAUGUGAAGGAACACCGGAGGCGAAGGCGCCUACCUGGAUGAUUAUUGACGCUGAGGCGCGAAAGCGUGGGGAGCAAACAGGAUUAGAUACCCUGGUAGUCCACGCCGUAAACGAUGAGUACUAGUUUUCAGAGGUAUUGACCCCUUUGGGAACGCAGCUAACGCAUUAAGUACUCCGCCUGGGAAGUACGGUCGCAAGACUAAAACUCAAAGGAAUUGACGGGGGCCCGCACAAGCGGUGGAUUAUGUGGUUUAAUUCGAAGCAACGCGCAGAACCUUACCUAGGCUUGAAAUCCUACGAAUUUGGGGUAAUUCCCGAAGUGCUCGCAAGAGAAUGUAGUGACAGGUGCUGCAUGGCUGUCGUCAGCUCGUGUUGUGAAAUGUUGGGUUAAGUCUCGCAACGAGCGCAACCCCUAUCUUUAGUUGCCAGCAUUCAGUUGGGCACUCUAGAGAGACUGCCCGGGUUAACCGGGAGGAAGGGGGGGAUGACGUCAAGUCCUCAUGGCCCUUAUGCC